CUUUUAUUUCUCAACUUGUUCAACUCCAAAGAAAGGAAAAGAAUACCGAUUCACUGGAGCCUCCUUUGAGACCUCAGCAGUCGUUUGUUUAAUAUCUGGUUGGAUUUGACUAGUGACUGCGUAUUUUUUAAAGCUGUUUGCAUCUAUGUUCACAAGUGAGAUCACCCGGAAUUAUAAAGAGAAAUGCAAGCUGCAGAAAAAUGUCAGUACACUGCCAUUUGUGUGGGUGAGGAAGAAAGAAUGGAAACCAGCUGCCAUGUUGUGAAUUGCGCUAUGGAAAGACCCAUGUGGCACAGAACCGAGGUCUCUGGCCAGCAGCCCUCAAGGAAUCCUGCCAACAGCCAUGAGAGUAAGCUUGGAAGAGGAUCUUCCCUCAGUAGACCCUUGAGAAAAGGCCACAGACCUGGCUAACUCCUAGAUAGCAGCCUGUAAGAGAACCUGAGCUAGAAGCACUCAGCUAAGCCAUGUCUGGAUUCUUGACCUGCAGAAACUGUGAGAUAAUAAAUGUUCCUUAUUUUAAGCCACUAAGUUUUGAAGUAAUUUGUAAUACAGCAAUGGAAAACUCAUACAGUAACCAAUCAAAAAUGCCUUUCAGAAUCCUACAUUUUUUUGAAAAAUCUUUUCCUUCUUGCCCUAUAUAUGUCCUUCACGCUACAAGUCACUUUUUGGCCUUUAUUGUUCUUUAAAAGUCUACUAUUUUUCAGGCAAUAUGCUGGUCUAGAGAAUCAUUAUCACGAUUCCCA
RNAcentral lists this long non-coding RNA (743 nucleotides) under Equus caballus (horse). RNAcentral describes it as "lncRNA (ENSECAG00000043061.2)". The record is from RNAcentral. Lineage: Eukaryota; Metazoa; Chordata; Mammalia; Perissodactyla; Equidae.